Callithrix jacchus (white-tufted-ear marmoset) is the source of this 148-nucleotide unclassified non-coding RNA. It matches the Rfam family "Metazoan signal recognition particle RNA". From Rfam's summary of the family: The signal recognition particle (SRP) is a universally conserved ribonucleoprotein. It is involved in the co-translational targeting of proteins to membranes. The eukaryotic SRP consists of a 300-nucleotide 7S RNA and six proteins: SRPs 72, 68, 54, 19, 14, and 9. NCBI's taxonomy places the organism in Eukaryota, Metazoa, Chordata, Mammalia, Primates, Cebidae. The record is from Ensembl.
GCUGGGCAUGGUGGUGCAUGCCUGUAAUCCCAGCUACUCGGGAGGCUGAGGCAGGAGAAUCACUUGAACCCUGGAGGCAGAGGUUGCGGUGAGCUGAGAUUGAGCCACUGCACUCCAGCCUGGGUGACAGAGUGAGAUCCUGCCACAA